AGAUGCUUCCUGUCCUCAAACAUCGGACUCCAAAUUCUUCAGCUUUGGGACGGACUGGCUUCCUUGCUCCUCAGCUUGCAGACAGCCGACUGUGGGACCUUGUGAUCAUUUUGGAAACAGAUACUGCAAUCCCAGAAAAUCUUGCCAUAAGAAGAGCCUAGCCAAUAGUUUGACUGCGAUUUCAUGGGAGACCUCAAGGCAGAGUGAUCCAGAAUACCACAGUCUGGAGGCUAUGAAGUCCAUGAUUAAGAAGCCAGCACGUUUGCUUUCUGGUUCCAAGAUGGCAUACCUUUUUGCUGCUUCCUCCAGAGAGGAGGAACACUGUGUUCUCACAUAGUAGAAGAUGGAAGGAGCAGAUGCAGAUGAGCAUGGCAAUGUGAGAAUAUGUCAGAGGCCCCAGGAUGAAAUGAGCUCAAGUCCCUGAAAUCCCUGUUAGAAGAGUCUUUCCACUGGUUGGGAAUGCUAAUUGUAUUUUGACAACUCAAUGUUUCAGCAACUCAAAAUGUUACAGCUUCUGCAUUGGAAUAAAAAAA
This 533-nucleotide long non-coding RNA is filed under the name Homo sapiens (human). RNAcentral describes it as "long intergenic non-protein coding RNA 2718". The record is from RNAcentral. Lineage: Eukaryota; Metazoa; Chordata; Mammalia; Primates; Hominidae.